Molecule: long non-coding RNA, 298 nt
Organism: Xenia sp. Carnegie-2017
Lineage: Eukaryota; Metazoa; Cnidaria; Anthozoa; Malacalcyonacea; Xeniidae
Exons: 2
Source: RefSeq, a predicted model, not a curated record
UUGUCUGAGGAGCAAGAUAAAAGGGUCUAUGUUAUUGUGUGUAGUUGGUGUCAUUGUAAGGUUUAAGCUGGUGAGUUUACAAAUGUUUGGAUAAGGUUUGGACGAGGAACCACCUUAGCCUUGAAGGUCAAUACGGGGACAUGUAUCUUUGCCAAGACGUCAACAAAUCCAUUAAGCCCACUUCCAUCUCAGCAACAAUGAAAGAAACUUGCGUUGCUGAGCUCUGCUGGCUGGGUGGCGUCACCGCACAUUGACCCAGCUACCCAAUGACUUCCCUGAAUUUUCAUUAUGUGAAAAC